UCUACGGGUGGCUGCAGUGGGGAAUAUUGCACAAUGGGGGAAACCCUGAUGCAGCGACGCCGCGUGAGUGAAGAAGUAUUUCGGUAUGUAAAGCUCUAUCAGCAGGGAAGAAAUAAAGUCCUUCGGACUUUGGACGGUACCUGACUAAGAAGCCCCGGCUAACUACGUGCCAGCAGCCGCGGUAAUACGUAGGGGGCAAGCGUUAUCCGGAUUUACUGGGUGUAAAGGGAGCGUAGACGGCAGCGCAAGUCUGGAGUGAAAACCCAUGGCUUAACCAUGGAACUGCUUUGGAAACUGUGCAGCUGGAGUGCAGGAGAGGUAAGCGGAAUUCCUAGUGUAGCGGUGAAAUGCGUAGAUAUUAGGAGGAACACCAGUGGCGAAGGCGGCUUACUGGACUGUAACUGACGUUGAGGCUCGAAAGCGUGGGGAGCAAACAGGAUUAGAUACCCCAGUAGUC
Molecule: ribosomal RNA, 457 nt
Filed under: uncultured bacterium
Lineage: Bacteria
Description: partial 16S ribosomal RNA
Rfam family: Bacterial small subunit ribosomal RNA
Source: RNAcentral